Molecule: ribosomal RNA, 524 nt
Filed under: uncultured bacterium
Lineage: Bacteria
Description: partial 16S ribosomal RNA
Rfam family: Bacterial small subunit ribosomal RNA
Source: RNAcentral
GACGAACGCUGGCGGCGUGCCUAAUACAUGCAAGUCGAACGAAGCUGUUUUAACCGGUGCUUGCACCGACUUAAACAACUGAGUGGCGAACGGGUGAGUAACACGUGGGUAACCUGCCCCAAAGCGGGGGAUAACAUUUGGAAACAGAUGCUAAUACCGCAUAACCACAGAAACCACAUGGUUUCUGUGUCAAAGAUGGUUUCGGCUAUCACUUUGGGAUGGACCCGCGGCGUAUUAGCUAGUUGGUAAGGUAAUGGCUUACCAAGGCAAUGAUAUGUAGCCGAACUGAGAGGUUGAUCGGCCACAUUGGGACUGAGACACGGCCCAAACUCCUACGGGAGGCAGCAGUAGGGAAUCUUCCACAAUGGACGAAAGUCUGAUGGAGCAACGCCGCGUGAGUGAAGAAGGUUUUCGGAUCGUAAAACUCUGUUGUCAGAGAAGAACGUGUGCGAGAGUAACUGCUCGUGCAGUGACGGUAUCUGGCCAGAAAGCCACGGCUAACUACGUGCCAGCCGCCGCGGUAA